AUUAAUUUUUCAUUUUGUUAACCUAAAACAAUUUCCAAAUAAGGGUAAAAUGGUCAUUAAAAAUUUAAAGAGGCUAGAAAUAAAAUUGGAUAAAAUAAAAGGGUAGAGUCGAAAAAGGGCAUCAUAAAAAGGGCAUUAGAAAGAAUUUUUCUUGAUAAGAUGAAUU
This 166-nucleotide small RNA is filed under the name Arabidopsis thaliana (thale cress). RNAcentral's name for it is "ATSL040960". The record is from RNAcentral. Lineage: Eukaryota; Viridiplantae; Streptophyta; Magnoliopsida; Brassicales; Brassicaceae.